UCGACCGGCGCACGGGUGAGUAACGCGUAUCCAACCUUCCCAUUACUGUGGGAUAACCUGCCGAAAGGCAGACUAAUACCGCAUAGUCUUCGAUGACGGCAUCAGAUUUGAAGUAAAGAUUUAUCGGUAAUGGAUGGGGAUGCGUCUGAUUAGCUUGUUGGCGGGGUAACGGCCCACCAAGGCGACGAUCAGUAGGGGUCCUGAGAGGAAGGUCCCCCACAUUGGAACUGAGACACGGUCCAAACUCCUACGGGAGGCAGCAGCU
RNAcentral lists this ribosomal RNA (265 nucleotides) under uncultured Prevotella sp. RNAcentral describes it as "partial 16S ribosomal RNA". It matches the Rfam family "Bacterial small subunit ribosomal RNA", at positions 91 to 355 of the family's 1533-position model. The record is from RNAcentral. Lineage: Bacteria; Pseudomonadati; Bacteroidota; Bacteroidia; Bacteroidales; Prevotellaceae.